This 217-nucleotide ribosomal RNA is filed under the name Rachycentron canadum (cobia). RNAcentral's name for it is "partial small subunit ribosomal RNA". It matches the Rfam family "Bacterial small subunit ribosomal RNA", at positions 492 to 794 of the family's 1533-position model. Lineage: Eukaryota; Metazoa; Chordata; Actinopteri; Carangiformes; Rachycentridae. The record is from RNAcentral.
GUCGGUAAAACUCGUGCCAGCCACCGCGGUUAGACGAAUGGCUCAAGUUGACAAAAUACGGCGUAAAGAGUGGUUAGGGAAUACUAAAACUAAAGCUGAAUACCUUCCAAGCUGUUAUACGCUUAUGAAGCGAAUGAAGCCCAACUACGAAAGUGGCUUUAUUACACCUGAACCCACGAAAGCUAAGAAACAAACUGGGAUUAGAUACCCCACUAUG